RNAcentral lists this ribosomal RNA (1030 nucleotides) under uncultured Paenibacillus sp. Its description in RNAcentral is "bacterial SSU rRNA". It matches the Rfam family "Bacterial small subunit ribosomal RNA", at positions 368 to 1393 of the family's 1533-position model. The record is from RNAcentral. Lineage: Bacteria; Bacillati; Bacillota; Bacilli; Caryophanales; Paenibacillaceae.
GCAAUGGACGAAAGUCUGACGGAGCAAUGCCGCGUGAGUGAUGAAGGUUUUCGGAUCGUAAAGCUCUGUUGCCAGGGAAGAACGCUUGGGAGAGUAACUGCUCUCAAGGUGACGGUACCUGAGAAGAAAGCCCCGGCUAACUACGUGCCAGCAGCCGCGGUAAUACGUAGGGGGCAAGCGUUGUCCGGAAUUAUUGGGCGUAAAGCGCGCGCAAGCGGUCAUUUAAGUCUGGUGUUUAAUCCUGGGGCUCAACCCCAGGUCGCACUGGAAACUGGAUGACUUGAGUGCAGAAGAGGAGAGUGGAAUUCCACGUGUAGCGGUGAAAUGCGUAGAUAUGUGGAGGAACACCAGUGGCGAAGGCGACUCUCUGGGCUGUAACUGACGCUGAGGCGCGAAAGCGUGGGGAGCAAUCAGGAUUAGAUACCCUGGUAGUCCACGCCGUAAACGAUGAGUGCUAGGUGUUAGGGGUUUCGAUACCCUUGGUGCCGAAGUUAACACAUUAAGCACUCCGCCUGGGGAGUACGGUCGCAAGACUGAAACUCAAAGGAAUUGACGGGGACCCGCACAAGCAGUGGAGUAUGUGGUUUAAUUCGAAGCAACGCGAAGAACCUUACCAGGUCUUGACAUCCCUCUGAAUCCACUAGAGAUAGUGGCGGCCUUCGGGACAGAGGAGACAGGUGGUGCAUGGUUGUCGUCAGCUCGUGUCGUGAGAUGUUGGGUUAAGUCCCGCAACGAGCGCAACCCUUAUGCUUAGUUGCCAGCACAUUAUGGUGGGCACUCUAAGCAGACUGCCGGUGACAAACCGGAGGAAGGUGGGGAUGACGUCAAAUCAUCAUGCCCCUUAUGACCUGGGCUACACACGUACUACAAUGGCCGGUACAACGGGCUGCGAAAUCGCGAGAUGGAGCCAAUCCCACCAAAGCCGGUCUCAGUUCGGAUUGCAGGCUGCAACCCGCCUGCAUGAAGUCGGUUUCUAGUAAUCGCGGAUCAGCAUGCCGCGGUGAAGAGAUCCCGGCCUUGUACACACCGC